UACGUAGGGUGCGAGCGUUGUCCGGAAUUAUUGGGCGUAAAGGGCUCGUAGGCGGUUUGUCACGUCGGGAGUGAAAACUCGGGGCUUAACCCCGAGCCUGCUUCCGAUACGGGCUGACUAGAGGUAUGCAGGGGAGAACGGAAUUCCUGGUGUAGCGGUGAAAUGCGUAGAUAUCAAGAGGAACACCUGAGGCGAAGGCGGGUUGCUAGGCUGACACUGACGCUGAAGCGCGAAAGCCAGGGGAGCAAACGGG
This 253-nucleotide ribosomal RNA is filed under the name uncultured bacterium. Its description in RNAcentral is "partial 16S ribosomal RNA". It matches the Rfam family "Bacterial small subunit ribosomal RNA", at positions 524 to 776 of the family's 1533-position model. The record is from RNAcentral.